CAAGUCGAACGAACCUUCGGGUUAGUGGCGGACGGGUGAGUAACGCGUGAGAAUCUGCCCUCAGGAGGGGGAUAACGGCUGGAAACGGCCGCUAAUACCCCAUAUGCCGAGAGGUGAAAUGAAUUUCGCCUGAGGAUGAGCUCGCGUCUGAUUAGCUAGUUGGUGGGGUAAGAGCCCACCAAGGCUUCGAUCAGUAGCUGGUCUGAGAGGAUGAUCAGCCACACUGGGACUGAGACACGGCCCAGACUCCUACGGGAGGCAGCAGUGGGGAAUUUUCCGCAAUGGGCGAAAGCCUGACGGAGCAACGCCGCGUGAGGGAUGAAGGCCUCUGGGCUGUAAACCUCUUUUAUCAAGGAAGAAGAUCUGACGGUACUUGAUGAAUAAGCCACGGCUAAUUCCGUGCCAGCAGCCGCGGUAAUACGGGAGUGGCAAGCGUUAUCCGGAAUUAUUGGGCGUAAAGCGUCCGCAGGCGGCCUCGUAAGUCUGUCGUUAAAGCGUGGAGCUUAACUCCAUUUCGGCGAUGGAAACUGUGAGGCUUGAGUGUGGUAGGGGCAGAGGGAAUUCCCGGUGUAGCGGUGAAAUGCGUAGAUAUCGGGAAGAACACCAGUGGCGAAGGCGCUCUGCUGGGCCAUAACUGACGCUCAUGGACGAAAGCCAGGGGAGCGAAAGGGAUUAGAUACCCCUGUAGUCCUGGCCGUAAACGAUGAACACUAGGUGUCGGGGGAAUCGACCCCCUCGGUGUCGUAGCCAACGCGUUAAGUGUUCCGCCUGGGGAGUACGCACGCAAGUGUGAAACUCAAAGGAAUUGACGG
This 812-nucleotide ribosomal RNA is filed under the name uncultured bacterium. Its description in RNAcentral is "bacterial SSU rRNA". It matches the Rfam family "Bacterial small subunit ribosomal RNA", at positions 58 to 916 of the family's 1533-position model. The record is from RNAcentral.